ACGGGAGGCAGCAGUGGGGAAUAUUGGGCAAUGGGCGCAAGCCUGACCCAGCGACGCCGCGUGAAGGAAGAAGGUCUUCGGAUUGUAAACUUUUGUCAUCAGGGAAGAAGAAAGUGACGGUACCUGAUAAGAAAGCCACGGCUAACUACGUGCCAGCAGCCGCGGUAAUACGUAGGUGGCGAGCGUUAUCCGGAUUUACUGGGUGUAAAGGGUGUGUAGGCGGACUGACAAGUCAGGUGUGAAAUCCAUCGGCUCAACCGAUGAACUGCACUUGAAACUGCCAGCCUUGAGGGUCGGAGAGGCAAGCGGAAUUCCCAGUGUAGCGGUGAAAUGCGUAGAUAUUGGGAGGAACACCAGUGGCGAAGGCGGCUUGCUGGACGACAACUGACGCUGAGACACGAAAGCGUGGGGAGCAAACAGGAUUAGAUACCCUGGUA
Molecule: ribosomal RNA, 437 nt
Rfam family: Bacterial small subunit ribosomal RNA